AGCACGGUGGCACAGUGGGUUCAGCUGCUGCCUGCCAAGCAGUAUUCCCGAGAGCCCUGGUUCGAGUCCUGGCUGCUCUG
RNAcentral lists this transfer RNA (80 nucleotides) under Oryctolagus cuniculus (rabbit). It matches the Rfam family "tRNA". From Rfam's summary of the family: Transfer RNA (tRNA) molecules are approximately 80 nucleotides in length. Lineage: Eukaryota; Metazoa; Chordata; Mammalia; Lagomorpha; Leporidae. The record is from Rfam by way of RNAcentral.